RNAcentral lists this ribosomal RNA (2933 nucleotides) under Escherichia coli. RNAcentral's name for it is "23S ribosomal RNA". It matches the Rfam family "Bacterial large subunit ribosomal RNA". The record is from RNAcentral. Lineage: Bacteria; Pseudomonadati; Pseudomonadota; Gammaproteobacteria; Enterobacterales; Enterobacteriaceae.
GGGUUGUGAGGUUAAGCGACUAAGCGUACACGGUGGAUGCCCUGGCAGUCAGAGGCGAUGAAGGACGUGCUAAUCUGCGAUAAGCGUCGGUAAGGUGAUAUGAACCGUUAUAACCGGCGAUUUCCGAAUGGGGAAACCCAGUGUGAUUCGUCACACUAUCAUUAACUGAAUCCAUAGGUUAAUGAGGCGAACCGGGGGAACUGAAACAUCUAAGUACCCCGAGGAAAAGAAAUCAACCGAGAUUCCCCCAGUAGCGGCGAGCGAACGGGGAGCAGCCCAGAGCCUGAAUCAGUGUGUGUGUUAGUGGAAGCGUCUGGAAAGGCGUGCGAUACAGGGUGACAGCCCCGUACACAAAAAUGCACAUGCUGUGAGCUCGAUGAGUAGGGCGGGACACGUGGUAUCCUGUCUGAAUAUGGGGGGACCAUCCUCCAAGGCUAAAUACUCCUGACUGACCGAUAGUGAACCAGUACCGUGAGGGAAAGGCGAAAAGAACCCCGGCGAGGGGAGUGAAAAAGAACCUGAAACCGUGUACGUACAAGCAGUGGGAGCACAGAGCAAUCUGUGUGACUGCGUACCUUUUGUAUAAUGGGUCAGCGACUUAUAUUCUGUAGCAAGGUUAACCGAAUAGGGGAGCCGAAGGGAAACCGAGUCUUAACUGGGCGUUAAGUUGCAGGGUAUAGACCCGAAACCCGGUGAUCUAGCCAUGGGCAGGUUGAAGGUUGGGUAACACUAACUGGAGGACCGAACCGACUAAUGUUGAAAAAUUAGCGGAUGACUUGUGGCUGGGGGUGAAAGGCCAAUCAAACCGGGAGAUAGCUGGUUCUCCCCGAAAGCUAUUUAGGUAGCGCCUCGUGAAUUCAUCUCCGGGGGUAGAGCACUGUUUCGGCAAGGGGGUCAUCCCGACUUACCAACCCGAUGCAAACUGCGAAUACCGGAGAAUGUUAUCACGGGAGACACACGGCGGGUGCUAACGUCCGUCGUGAAGAGGGAAACAACCCAGACCGCCAGCUAAGGUCCCAAAGUCAUGGUUAAGUGGGAAACGAUGUGGGAAGGCCCAGACAGCCAGGAUGUUGGCUUAGAAGCAGCCAUCAUUUAAAGAAAGCGUAAUAGCUCACUGGUCGAGUCGGCCUGCGCGGAAGAUGUAACGGGGCUAAACCAUGCACCGAAGCUGCGGCAGCGACGCUUAUGCGUUGUUGGGUAGGGGAGCGUUCUGUAAGCCUGUGAAGGUGUACUGUGAGGUAUGCUGGAGGUAUCAGAAGUGCGAAUGCUGACAUAAGUAACGAUAAAGCGGGUGAAAAGCCCGCUCGCCGGAAGACCAAGGGUUCCUGUCCAACGUUAAUCGGGGCAGGGUGAGUCGACCCCUAAGGCGAGGCCGAAAGGCGUAGUCGAUGGGAAACAGGUUAAUAUUCCUGUACUUGGUGUUACUGCGAAGGGGGGACGGAGAAGGCUAUGUUGGCCGGGCGACGGUUGUCCCGGUUUAAGCGUGUAGGCUGGUUUUCCAGGCAAAUCCGGAAAAUCAAGGCUGAGGCGUGAUGACGAGGCACUACGGUGCUGAAGCAACAAAUGCCCUGCUUCCAGGAAAAGCCUCUAAGCAUCAGGUAACAUCAAAUCGUACCCCAAACCGACACAGGUGGUCAGGUAGAGAAUACCAAGGCGCUUGAGAGAACUCGGGUGAAGGAACUAGGCAAAAUGGUGCCGUAACUUCGGGAGAAGGCACGCUGAUAUGUAGGUGAAGUCCCUCGCGGAUGGAGCUGAAAUCAGUCGAAGAUACCAGCUGGCUGCAACUGUUUAUUAAAAACACAGCACUGUGCAAACACGAAAGUGGACGUAUACGGUGUGACGCCUGCCCGGUGCCGGAAGGUUAAUUGAUGGGGUCAGCGCAAGCGAAGCUCUUGAUCGAAGCCCCGGUAAACGGCGGCCGUAACUAUAACGGUCCUAAGGUAGCGAAAUUCCUUGUCGGGUAAGUUCCGACCUGCACGAAUGGCGUAAUGAUGGCCAGGCUGUCUCCACCCGAGACUCAGUGAAAUUGAACUCGCUGUGAAGAUGCAGUGUACCCGCGGCAAGACGGAAAGACCCCGUGAACCUUUACUAUAGCUUGACACUGAACAUUGAGCCUUGAUGUGUAGGAUAGGUGGGAGGCUUUGAAGUGUGGACGCCAGUCUGCAUGGAGCCGACCUUGAAAUACCACCCUUUAAUGUUUGAUGUUCUAACGUUGACCCGUAAUCCGGGUUGCGGACAGUGUCUGGUGGGUAGUUUGACUGGGGCGGUCUCCUCCUAAAGAGUAACGGAGGAGCACGAAGGUUGGCUAAUCCUGGUCGGACAUCAGGAGGUUAGUGCAAUGGCAUAAGCCAGCUUGACUGCGAGCGUGACGGCGCGAGCAGGUGCGAAAGCAGGUCAUAGUGAUCCGGUGGUUCUGAAUGGAAGGGCCAUCGCUCAACGGAUAAAAGGUACUCCGGGGAUAACAGGCUGAUACCGCCCAAGAGUUCAUAUCGACGGCGGUGUUUGGCACCUCGAUGUCGGCUCAUCACAUCCUGGGGCUGAAGUAGGUCCCAAGGGUAUGGCUGUUCGCCAUUUAAAGUGGUACGCGAGCUGGGUUUAGAACGUCGUGAGACAGUUCGGUCCCUAUCUGCCGUGGGCGCUGGAGAACUGAGGGGGGCUGCUCCUAGUACGAGAGGACCGGAGUGGACGCAUCACUGGUGUUCGGGUUGUCAUGCCAAUGGCACUGCCCGGUAGCUAAAUGCGGAAGAGAUAAGUGCUGAAAGCAUCUAAGCACGAAACUUGCCCCGAGAUGAGUUCUCCCUGACUCCUUGAGAGUCCUGAAGGAACGUUGAAGACGACGACGUUGAUAGGCCGGGUGUGUAAGCGCAGCGAUGCGUUGAGCUAACCGGUACUAAUGAACCGUGAGGCUUAACCUUACAACGCCGAAGGUGUUU